UUCGGGUUUGGUAUUGAGUGAUACUCUUAGUUGAACUAGGCGUUUGCUUGAAAUGUAUUGGCAUGAGUGGUACUGGAUAGUGCUAUAUGACUUUCAAUGUAUUAGGUUUAUCCAACUCGUUGAAUAGUUUAAUGGUAUAUUUCUCGGUAUUCUAGGCUCGGCCUUACAAUAUAACAAACAAGUUUGACCUCAAAUCAGGUAGGAUUACCCGCUGAACUUAAGCAUAUCAAUAAGCGGAGGAAAAGAAACCAACAGGGAUUGCCUUAGUAACGGCGAGUGAAGCGGCAAAAGCUCAAAUUUGAAAUCUGGCACCUUCGGUGUCCGAGUUGUAAUUUGAAGAAGGUAACUUUGGAGUUGGCUCUUGUCUAUGUUCCUUGGAACAGGACGUCACAGAGGGUGAGAAUCCCGUGCGAUGAGAUGCCCAAUUCUAUGUAAAGUGCUUUCGAAGAGUCGAGUUGUUUGGGAAUGCAGCUCUAAGUGGGUGGUAAAUUCCAUCUAAAGCUAAAUAUUGGCGAGAGACCGAUAGCGAACAAGUACAGUGAUGGAAAGAUGAAAAGAACUUUGAAAAGAGAGUGAAAAAGUACGUGAAAUUGUUGAAAGGGAAGGGCUUGAGAUCAGACUUGGUAUUUUGCGAUCCUUUCCUUCUUGGUUGGGUUCCUCGCAGCUUACUGGGCCAGCAUCGGUUUGGAUGGUAGGAUAAUGACUAAGGAAUGUGGCUCUACUUCGGUGGAGUGUUAUAGCCUUGGUUGAUACUGCCUGUCUAGACCGAGGACUGCG
This 777-nucleotide ribosomal RNA is filed under the name Debaryomyces hansenii. Its description in RNAcentral is "eukaryotic LSU rRNA". The stretch from base 185 to 777 matches the Rfam family "Eukaryotic large subunit ribosomal RNA", at positions 1 to 599 of the family's 3401-position model. Lineage: Eukaryota; Fungi; Ascomycota; Pichiomycetes; Serinales; Debaryomycetaceae. The record is from RNAcentral.